AUUUCUACUCCUUUCACUUUUUAAUUUCCAAGAAGUCAUGUGAUUUGGUUUUUGACGCAUUUUUUUAAAAAAACAUCUGAUAUCACAUAGCCUAUUUAUCUGCCAAACGUUUCACUUUCUGGACAGACAGAUCUGAAGAACUCACUGAACGAGCUCCAAAAUGCCUUUCCAACUCUGCGUUAAUACACCCACUGGAGAAGAAAAGAUUGUCGAUGUGUGCGACAAUAAAGAUCAGCUGAAGAACAUCACUGGAGAGCAAUUUAAAGAGAAUCUUCGUAAAGAACUGGGGAUAAAUGAAGACUUUCGUAUUAUUGUCAACGCCAAGCAGGUGGAGGAAGAGGCCACUCUGGACUCCACUGGGAUCAACCAUUUGUCCACAGUUUAUACAGUACCGAAACUGUCCGGAGGCACAUCUGAUGAAGAAUAAACCCCACAGGGUCUCAAGAAAGCCAUGAACCAUGUAUGAACAAAUCAAUUUUUCAUUUUUAAAGUCAUUAAGUUUCAUAUUUCUUUGCAUUGUGACUACAAGCUACUGUGUUGUCAAGCCAAUAUCAAAUCUUCUGUUAAGAAAAUUGAUACGGUGCCACAAAUCUGUAUUCCGUUUCUUUUAUGUAAAUGUGUCAUCUUCAUAUAAACUGACUGAAAACAAUGUGGUGUGUGAUAAUAACAUGUUAAUAAAUUCUACUUGUCUCA
Molecule: long non-coding RNA, 693 nt
Organism: Dicentrarchus labrax (European seabass)
Lineage: Eukaryota; Metazoa; Chordata; Actinopteri; Moronidae
Exons: 2
Source: RefSeq, a predicted model, not a curated record